Non-coding RNA from Microcebus murinus (gray mouse lemur), 671 nucleotides. The record is from RefSeq and is a predicted model, not a curated record. NCBI's taxonomy places the organism in Eukaryota, Metazoa, Chordata, Mammalia, Primates, Cheirogaleidae.
AGGAGCUGACUGAGAUUUCAGAACAUCCUGCCAUGCCCAUCACUGCAAGUUGUGAUCCUUUGUUUACAAGCUCUCCUUUCCCAUUUAACUUCCCUGCAUGUAAGGAGUCGCCAGUGACAGUGUCACUCCGUAGCUACUUCAACCGGCACAUCCUCUUGGUGUUCCCCACAGCCAGAAGGAUCUUCCAGGAUUCGCCUCUCCUGCUGCUGUUCAACAAUUUAGCAAUCAGUGGAGCCAGGGAAAUAAAGGGAAAGGAGGCCUCAACAUCAUGAAGAUGUCAAUGCUCCGUAACUCACUUAUAGAAUUAUCUAAGAUGAGAAGAUUCGUCCCACAAGUGACGGCAUUCACUGAAACCACUGAAGCUUGACAAAUAAAAAUGACCACCAUUUAUGGAGAGAUUCCUCUGUUCCAGAGUCUACGGAGCAGCAGCAUUUGCAUCAUCCAGACCUGCUGAACCGAAUCUGCAUGUCAACAAGAUCCCAGGGGAAUUCGGACGGACGGACUCACACUGAAGGUUGAGAAGCCCUGCUCCUGGCCAUCCUGGCCCGGGCAAGGUGACUCCUACUGCCACAGACCUCUACUCCCCGCCACAGCACCACCAAGGCAAUGCCCACAGAAGCACAGCACUCAAAACAGAGGACCCAGAUGUUAACCAGAAAUGAUUCUUCAGC